Non-coding RNA from Dipodomys ordii (Ord's kangaroo rat), 65 nucleotides. Lineage: Eukaryota; Metazoa; Chordata; Mammalia; Rodentia; Heteromyidae. The record is from Rfam.
GGUGGCUCAGUGGUAGAGUGCUUGCCUAGCAUGCACGAGGCCCUGGGUUCAAUUCCUCAGCACCA